ACGUCUUACCCUGCAUGCCUCUUCAUUCGUGGUCCAAGAGCAACUUUUGCCUUGGCCGAGUCCCGGGUUUCCUGUGCUGCGUACCCACCGCGGAGGCAUUCGUUCGUCCCAUCGUUCCUCGUUCGUCUUGUGUUGCCCCUCGUAUUCGGACACGGGACGGACCCCAAAGUCUCCUCCGUGAUCCACUUCGCGACCGUCGCGAUCGUGGGCCGCGGAGUUUUGCUCGAGCUCUCGGAUGCGGAACCCCUAGAGGGUAGGGGUCUCGCGGCCCCUGUUUUGCCCAACAAGCGUUCGUCGCUAACCGGCGCACGACUGCCGUUCCCGUCUUGAGCUGUCGUCCCCCGGGCGGCCCGCUCACGCGGUGUCGGCGUCGUAAAGGAAUGCU
This 385-nucleotide unclassified non-coding RNA is filed under the name Spongiosperma grandiflorum. Its description in RNAcentral is "partial external transcribed spacer". The record is from RNAcentral. Lineage: Eukaryota; Viridiplantae; Streptophyta; Magnoliopsida; Gentianales; Apocynaceae.